GCUGCUGAAGUCAAUCAGAAAUAAUAAUUGCAUUCAACUUCAAGUUAUUGUUGUUCUUUUAAUGAGUACGUCUCGAGCUUGUCCCCCUUUGGCGCUGCUGGGUGCCUCAUGUCGGCAACUGAAAUUGUCAUAGAUCUUGCUUAUAUUUCCUCUAGAUUCGCUAUGUUGUUUUUUUUGCUGCUUUGGGCAAAAUCAAAGUCCGAGUUUCCAUGUUUCAUCAUCAGCACUACUAUUGUAUAACAGUGUUUCUAAUUGACAUGGAUAUAAGUUGCUCGCUUUUCCCUAUCUCAUGCAA
RNAcentral lists this long non-coding RNA (295 nucleotides) under Elaeis guineensis (African oil palm). Its description in RNAcentral is "long non-coding RNA (EGUI_LNC006406)". The record is from RNAcentral. Lineage: Eukaryota; Viridiplantae; Streptophyta; Magnoliopsida; Arecales; Arecaceae.